RNAcentral lists this transfer RNA (76 nucleotides) under Escherichia coli. RNAcentral describes it as "tRNA-Thr". It matches the Rfam family "tRNA". Rfam says of the family: Transfer RNA (tRNA) molecules are approximately 80 nucleotides in length. Their secondary structure includes four short double-helical elements and three loops (D, anti-codon, and T loops). The record is from RNAcentral. RNAcentral also lists the same sequence under 47 other names. Lineage: Bacteria; Pseudomonadati; Pseudomonadota; Gammaproteobacteria; Enterobacterales; Enterobacteriaceae.
GCUACUGUGGCUCAGCUGGUAGAGCAGCUCACUCGUAAUGAGCAGGUCGCCUGUUCGAAUCAGGUCAGUAGCUCCA